Trichomycterus rosablanca is the source of this 759-nucleotide long non-coding RNA. RefSeq lists it as uncharacterized. Lineage: Eukaryota; Metazoa; Chordata; Actinopteri; Siluriformes; Trichomycteridae. The transcript has 2 exons. The record is from RefSeq and is a predicted model, not a curated record.
GCGAGUAUUCAGACCCCUCUAGCGAAUUUUUUUUAAACAAGCGACUAGCGACAAAUCUAGCGACGUUUUCUGGUGUUAUUGGAGACUUUUGGAGACUCGAACGUGAAAACACACGUCGUUCUGCAUUUACUUUCCUCAACGAGCAGCGGGUCCUGCCGUGAGCCCCUCCGCCGUCCCAAAGCACGAGCGGUCAGUAUCACAGUCAGUGUUGCCAGAUUGGGCGGGAUUCCACCAAAGUGGGCGGAUUUGGUUGGAAAACACACUUUCGCAGGUGGACAAAUUUUGGGCUGGUUUGUAAUCAUUUUGGCGGCUUAAAAUGUAAAUAAAAAAACUAUUGCUUUCUAAAGCAGGUGGAAUAUAAAUAGGUCUACCUUCUCCCACCACAUCCAACCCGUUGUCAAAAGUUUGAUUGACAGGUUAUUCUCUCCAGUCCAAGACACUGUUGCCACGCCCAUCAAUACAGUGAUUCAUAUGUUAGACAAGUGAUUGGAGUUGAAUAUGAAGCACUACUGAAUGGCCCAACAGCAGCUCUUGCAGUCCUGUGAUUUGAACUCUCAACUGAAAAACACUUUCAUAUUCUCCUGCUUAAAACGACCGAUGUGGGCUGUAUUUGGUCAUGGUGCAUUAGGAACACCAUGGGAUGUAUGGGGUGCUCCUCUUCAGCACAGAGACUUCGGACGCACCUUUGGAAACAGCUGUGAUGAAAAAAAAAACACAGAUAUUAGACAUAAUAAAUAAAAUUUAUUCUAUAACAUGAAA